This 389-nucleotide ribosomal RNA is filed under the name uncultured bacterium. RNAcentral describes it as "bacterial SSU rRNA". It matches the Rfam family "Bacterial small subunit ribosomal RNA", at positions 28 to 410 of the family's 1533-position model. The record is from RNAcentral.
GACGAACGCUGGCGGCGUGCUUAACACAUGCAAGUCGAGCGAGAAAGCUCCUUCGGGAGUGAGUACAGCGGCGAACGGGUGAGUAACACGUGGGCAACCUGCCCUAGGGAGCGGGACAACCCGAGGAAACUCGGGCUAAUACCGCAUGAUUCGUCGUGCCUCAAGGCGCGACGGGAAAUGGUAGCUUCGGCCUCCGCCCUGGGAGUGGCCCGGCGCCGCAUUAGCUUGUUGGUGAGGAACGGCUCACCAAGGCAACGAUGCGUAGCUGGUCUGAGAGGACGAUCAGCCACACUGGCACUGCGACACGGGCCAGACUCCUACGGGAGGCAGCAGUAAGGAAUAUUGCGCAAUGGGCGAAAGCCUGACGCAGCGACGCCGCGUGGGGGAGU